UAUACUAAAUGUAUUUAUGGACUUGAGAAAAGAUUUAAUACAAUUAACAGAGACCAAAAGGUAGUUAUUGAACCCAAUUCUCUUUCUUAUAUGUAAUAUAUUUAUAUGUAUAUGGAUAUAUAAUAAAAAUUAUUAUUAAUAUGCAUAUUUGAGGUUGAUGGUGAUGUGUCUUUGGCUUGAUUCUCCCACCCUCUCUUUUGGCUAGAUUUUUUUAAAGUAAGGUUCAAUGUGAUUUGCUUGUCUGUUUCUUUUUUUAGGUGUUAAAGUUAGGAAGCAAGUUGUGUUAGAUGGUCCGGUUAGUUGUGGAAAGAUAAUUGCACUUGAAAUGCUUGAUGCAAAAUCAGAGGUUUGUUUAGUCUAGUACCAGAAGAUUUGAGGCCACUUAAUGCAUAAUUUUUUUAUCACAAGAAGGAAAAUAAUAGUCAAUUUUGAGUUCUGUUCAAUGAUUGAGAGAUUUUCAUGCAGAUAUUUAUUUAGAUAUUAUUGU
Molecule: non-coding RNA, 487 nt
Organism: Arachis ipaensis
Lineage: Eukaryota; Viridiplantae; Streptophyta; Magnoliopsida; Fabales; Fabaceae
Source: RefSeq, a predicted model, not a curated record